This 1673-nucleotide ribosomal RNA is filed under the name Acanthosepion pharaonis. Its description in RNAcentral is "Sepia pharaonis 18S ribosomal RNA". It matches the Rfam family "Eukaryotic small subunit ribosomal RNA", at positions 468 to 1830 of the family's 1831-position model. The record is from RNAcentral. Lineage: Eukaryota; Metazoa; Mollusca; Cephalopoda; Sepiida; Sepiidae.
UGAGAAAAAACAACUACACGGGACUCAUUCCGAUUGCGGGGCCUUGACAAAGUACACUUCAAAUUUGUUAACGAGGACCAAACAGAGGGCCAGUAUGGUGCCAGCAGCUACAGUAAUUCCAGCGCCGGUAGCAGAUAUUAAAGUUGUUGUGCUUAAAAAGCUUGUAGUCUGAACUUGGGUUCGUGGUUGCGUUUAUGCACCAGUUUUGGCUUCAGUCAUCUGUGCACAUUCCCAGCCCUUUCUGCCAGCGUCAACUGCUUACACAUCCCCCAUACAGUCCUGCCAAUGAAGUUAUGUGGGGCAGUAGUAAGUGUCCGGUGUGGGGCUCCUGCGAGUGGUAUUGAUGACAAUGGGUCUUUGGCAUGCGAAAAAAGACAGUACAGUUCACUGUUGCAUCAUCAUCACUCUUUCUUCCUGCCACACGUUCACCUCCACUCCAGUUUCCUCUGGCCAUACUCUACCUACCUCCAUCUUUGCAUCCAUUUUACAUGUGUGUGUGGUUGGCGAUUUCUCCUUCAAGGGUGCUCUUGAGCAAGUGUCUGCAGCGGCCAGUACGUGCACUUUGAAAAAAUUAGAUUAGGGUGGGCUGUUCAAGCUUGCUUACAAUAAGCAUGGAAUGAUGGAAGAGGGCCUCAUCUACGUCUGUUGGUCUGUCUACAGUGAGGCAAUAAUCAAAGGGAGCAGUUAGGGCCUCUUGUAUUACAACAUUAGAGGUGAAAAUCUUGGAUUGUCACAAGACAAACUGCAGUGAUGGCAUAUGGCAAGCAUGUUUUUUCUCAAUCAAGAGUGAAGGUCAGGGGUUCAGAUACCAUCAUAGUUCCGAUUGUAAAUGAUGCUGACCAGCAAUCCACUGGUGUUCACUUCCAUGACUUAGCGGGUAGCCUGUGGGAAACCAGAGUUCAGUUCCAGGGGGAGUAUUAUUGCAAAGCUGAAACUUAAAGGAAAUGACGGAAGGGCACCACUGUGGCUUAAUUUGAUUCAACAUGGGAAAACUCACCUGGUCAGGUAACUGAUAGGGUUGACAGAUCGAUAGCUCUUUCUCGAUUUGGUGGGUGGUGGUGGUACAUGGCCAUUCUUUGUUGGUGGAGUGAUCCAUCUGGUUGAUUCUGAUAAUGAACGAGACUCUAGCCUAACUAGUGUGCUGAUGUGUGUUUAUUCAACGGUGGGCUUUGCGUUUAUUGCAUCACCCAGGUCUGGGUUGUUUUUCUCAUGCACUACUUAGAGGGACGAGUGGUAGAAAGCCAUACAAGGUGGAGCAAUAACAUGUCUGUGAUGCCUUUAGAUGUCCAGGGUCACACAAGCACUACACUGGCAGUAUCAGUGGGGACUUCAUCGCGGCCUGAGGGGGUUUAGAAAUAUCUUAAUGAUUUCCAGUGAUAAGGAUUGGGGCUUGUAACCAAUUCCCAGUAGGUGUGGGUCAACAACCCCUGACCUUUAUAUACAUCUCCCGUUGAAUGAUCCGGUGAGGUCCUAUGAUUGCUCUGGUUGCUGGCACCGCUGGGCAGUGUGCACAUGGCACAGUGGUGGAUGUGCGCUUUGCUGUCACCAUUCACUAUUUCCUACAAAUGUUGAACUCAGUGUUCGAUGUCUGGUGAAGAGGUUCGAACCCGAUCGUUUAGAGGAAGUAAAAGUUGUAACAAGGUUUCCGUAGGUGAACCUGCCAAAGGAUCAUU